Molecule: long non-coding RNA, 1955 nt
Filed under: Podarcis lilfordi (Lilford's wall lizard)
Lineage: Eukaryota; Metazoa; Chordata; Lepidosauria; Squamata; Lacertidae
Source: RNAcentral
GCCCACUCUCGGCUUCCCGCGGCCGCCUCUGUGUGUACAAACACAAAAGACACGCCGCGCGCGCCGCAGACGGAGAGCGAGCGAGGGAGCGAAGCAGGGAAUCCCCCCUUGGCCCUCCUGGCUUCCUUCCCCUGCCAGAGGGGAGCACGAGGCCCCAAGUCAGCGCCCAACGGUCCAGCGGGAGGAGACCCCUAACCGUCAGGAUCCGGCGGCGCGAGGUCAGGGCCAACGGUCUCUCUGCGUUGCUUCGGGCAUUAGGGGAUGGCUUGGGGGCUCCCUCGCUGCUCCUGGACUGAACUCUCAGGGGGCCCCCCAGGUUAGGGUGGCCCAAGCCUGUGAGACUCUGGAGGCCAGGGGGGCCAACCUGAAUAAAAUAUAGGGGGCACAAGGUAAGCCCCGUCCCACCUAAUCGGUCGCAAGACGUGGCACACGGACACCAUUUGAAUGGCAAUGCCCAUCAACUGCGGGGGGGGGGACUCCCUAAAAUAUUUUAUUACGGGGGUGAAGGGACAUCGGUCCCUAGGAGUUUCACUCCUCUGCUUGAGGCGCUUCACACGCCCACCGCUUGAUGAAGCCUCAAACUCGGGGGCGAGGAGUACUAGCAUGAACGACUGAGAUCCAACAGCAAAGGGACUUUCCAAGAAGUUUGAGGCUGCUCGAUGGGGUGGGUGGAGGGGAACUCAUUGGUGAGGAGAGAGGGAUUGGAGCCUGAUUGCAAUGAAUGAGGUGGAGUACGAUGGUGGGGGUGGGGGUGUUAAAAAGUUUAAGGCCUUUAAAAAUGUGAUUUGUCAGAGGACUGACAUCAUUGCAGCGGAUUUUUAUGCAAUGCGCAGAUUACGCUUCAAGUCAACAAGUGGUGAGCAGAAAGUGAGGUGUUUGGAGUUGGUGAACUGGCCCUCAUGAAGUCCAACUUCAGUGUUUUGCUUCUCCAGUAAUUCUACAGCUUGCCUUCCUCAGAAUAUUCACAUUCAAUCUUAAACCACUAGCUCCACCAGUUUAGGUGGCUUCAGUGACUGGCAGCUUACUCUUUUUAUGCUCAUCUGUUAAAACCACAAUACAGUGGAACGUCGGUUUUCGAAUGUAAUCCGUUCCGGAAAUCUGUUUGACUUUCAAAAAUCAAGGAUCAAAGGUCUGGCUGCAAAGUCAAUGUGGAAAAAAGAAAAAUGUGCCACAGAAGCCGUUCACCUUCCAAGGUGCAUUCGAAAACGGAAGCAUUCACUUCUGGGUUUUCGGUGUUUGGCUUACGAAACGUUCAGCAGCUGAGACUUUCAAAAAACGAGGUUUGACUGUACUGGAACUUCUGGACCAUACACACACAGAGAGAUUUGUAAUGCCCAGAUUUAAAGAAUGAGAGCUAGCUUAAAGGAAUAAAAACUUCAUUCCACAAUUUCUGUUUUCUGACAGACACUAUAUAUUGCUGAUAAGAUCUGUGAAAUCUCAAGCCAAGGCUGGCCUUAGGUUCGGGUGACCCUUGUCUGUGGUCCCCCAAUCCUCCCCUUCUAAUCUCUCAUACACAUUCUUCUAUGCAACAGGUGCCUCUCAACUCAGAAGCUGUAGUCAUAGGAUGAAAACUCCAGAUGGUCCGGAACACUUUUCACUAAGUGCCCCUCCAGACUAGUGUUUUUGUGUGUGGGCGUGCUCUGCAACUUGUCAUUGACUCAGUAAUAGGGCAUAAGUGGUUGAUUUAUACCGGACCAUCAACACAUCAUUCCACUUUAUUAGUUCUGCAAUGCUUUCCUAAUGUAACCACAUUAUUGCUGCGUGGAAGGGCAGUUUUGCACUACAGCACAACUGAAGCAGGACAAACCACCAUCCCAUCCUGAACAUUUGUGGUAUUAAAAGUUGCAUGAAUUCAUUAGGAAGCUAUGGGACAUGCACUGAUUGGAAAUGAAGCAAUAGUUCCAUCCCAAAACUUUUCAAAUCCCAUCAGGAGCACAUAUCAUCUUGAAUGUACA